This 615-nucleotide long non-coding RNA is filed under the name Mytilus galloprovincialis (Mediterranean mussel). Lineage: Eukaryota; Metazoa; Mollusca; Bivalvia; Mytilida; Mytilidae. The record is from RNAcentral.
GUGUGAAAAACAUCAGUGAUAGGUGAACAGAUGACACUAAUGAGUUGGGAGUUAUUUUAAUAUAAAGUUGAUUAGCUUCACUUAAUUUUUUUAAUCCUUUAUAAAUCAUCACAAUAUAAUGAGAAUUAUGAAGUGUACAUGCUCCUUUAACACUGAGUUAUGUGUGCUGUGAAAAUAUUGAUUGACUUUAAAUUUUUUCAGGUUCAUAUUGGUUUAUGUUCGCUUUUCUCAAACAAUAGGUUGUUAGUCAUACCCUACAAAAUCAUUGAUGCAUUACGUAAACAACACAUGGCUAAUCUGUAAUCAAACAGUGAACAAAACAACAGGAAUAAAUACAUCUUUAUUAUUAAACAGCUAUAUAAAUUAUCAUAAUCAACAUCAACUAAAUUCAAACCAAACAAACAUUCAUGCAGAAAAUGAAUAUAAUUCCUGGAUUUGCAUUGGUUUUACCGGCGUUCAGUAACUGUCAGCUGCAAACAAAAAUGUCCAAAUUUUGUCCGACUUAUACGAGGGUCAAGACUAAAUCCUCAGAAUUUGGAGCUGAAAAGGGCAUCCGACUUAUAGUCGGAUCGACUUAUAAGCGAGUAGCUACGGUAACUAAAAAGUAAUAUUUUU